Long non-coding RNA from Tupaia belangeri chinensis (Chinese tree shrew), 911 nucleotides. RefSeq lists it as uncharacterized. The record is from RefSeq and is a predicted model, not a curated record. The transcript has 3 exons. NCBI's taxonomy places the organism in Eukaryota, Metazoa, Chordata, Mammalia, Scandentia, Tupaiidae.
CAAAGAUCACCAUGCACAGGAGAAGAAAAAGGGGACUGAGUUUACUGAGCCCGGGAGAAAAGAUGAGACUAACUGGGAAUCAAAUACGCCACUGCUCAAGAUCCGUCCGCGGUACACGGAGCCAGAGUCAACCUGAUGUUGCCAUAGGAACCAGAUUCUUCCCCAGCGCCAUGGCAACAGACUCCAAAGUGUGUUAAACACAGUCUGCUCACAGGGCACGUCCUCAGCUGAGGAAGUGAGCAGCAGGAAGUGGGGGCGUUGUGCACGGAUGUUUCCUUCACCGAUUGGUUAGAAAUGCGAGUAAGCGAGGCUCACUCUGAAUGGAGGCGGUCGUGGCCAGCAUCACAUGAGGCUCACUCCGACACACAGCGGACUCCACUGCACCUCUGGGACACCAUCACUAACCACCUGAUGUAAUCACAGUCUUCAGCCAGUCACUGAUGAGACUGCAUCAUCUCAUAGCUAGGAGGGUCUUUCCAGAUGUUCCAGUCCAACUUCCUCUGGACGAAGCUGCCUGUCAUCACUCACUAAGGACACAUUUGUCCCCCUGAGCUCACCACUUUGCAAGAUGGACAUUCAAGUGCACCUUGCUGGUUUCUAAACUCUGCAUCCCUGUUAUUCCUACCCAAGAACUAGUUCUGCUUCCUAAAGCCACUCACAAUUAGUCUGAUGUUCCUCCCCUGUGGUAGUCCUUCUUGUAUUUGAAAUCAGCUUUGACUUGCCCCAAACACCCUCCUCUCUAGGCUGAACACCCUCUGAUUCCUGCUCAGUUCUUUGCACAUCACGGUUCUAGACGGUUCCCUUAGGCUUCCUCACUGGAUGGGACCAGUGCAAGAGGAAUUUCCUUGAUCCUCUGGAGACGUGGAGGGCAAUGGCCCAGAUGUACGUGGCCUGCACAGAGGGCAGGGGAC